CUUUCGUCAGAUUCCUAUGCUCAGCCCACCUUCAAAGUAAAGUAAGUAACACUUAGGAAAUGCACACAAAGAAGCUCGGCCACGAGGCAGAAAAGCCUGCAUUUAAACAUGAGUCUCUCACGACAGCCAAAUCAAAACAAAUGCAGAAAGAAGUGUAUAUUUCCCAGUGAUGAUUCAGGACAUAAGUUUACUUUAGUAAAUGGUGCCAGUCAUUUUAAAAUUUACCCAUUUCUUGUGUUCAUACUCCAAACAAAGAGGAAAGCAGAAUUUUAAGUGAAGCGUUGUGUACAUCCUCUGAAUUAAUGAUACAAUUAUACUAAAAGCUUUUUUUUAGGAUUUUCAUUUCCAUCCUGCAUGCACUGACUGCAGCACUAUAGGCACGUUCCCCUCUCAAAAAAAGGAAAAUCUUUGCAAUUUCCCAGUCCUAAGAUUGCUUCUUUCACUGGUUCUCUGUAGCCUCAGUAUAGUUCAGCAUCCUCUGCUGUUUUUUCAAUGACCUGAAGCAUUGUUAGACCCUAAUAAUACCUGUUCUCAUGCAGACUGCUGCUUUUUCCGCUGGGGAAAGGAGAGGAACUGAUGGAAUGAGAUACCAAUUAUACCAAUUCUCUCUACUGAUACUGUCAACAGCUGAUGUACCAACAAAAGGCCAAAACAUCAGAGGCAGAUAUUGGUGGUAUGUCAGUAGAGGCUGAACCUGACCAACAGUACUCCAUUCCAUGUUGUUGCUGUGUGACAGAUGGCAGCAGAGGGGCCUGACAAAAUGGCGUCUGACAUGGAAAUGUGUGCAAAGCAAAG
RNAcentral lists this long non-coding RNA (795 nucleotides) under Gallus gallus (chicken). Lineage: Eukaryota; Metazoa; Chordata; Aves; Galliformes; Phasianidae. The record is from RNAcentral.